GGUCCCACCUGACCCCAUGCCGAACUCAGCAGUGAAACGCCGUAGCGCCGAUGGUAGUGUGGGGUCUCCCCAUGUGAGAGUAGGGAACUGCCA
RNAcentral lists this ribosomal RNA (93 nucleotides) under Xenorhabdus thuongxuanensis. The record is from RNAcentral. Lineage: Bacteria; Pseudomonadati; Pseudomonadota; Gammaproteobacteria; Enterobacterales; Morganellaceae.